This is a long non-coding RNA of Salvelinus namaycush (lake trout), 287 nucleotides long. RefSeq lists it as uncharacterized. Lineage: Eukaryota; Metazoa; Chordata; Actinopteri; Salmoniformes; Salmonidae. The transcript is spliced from 3 exons. The record is from RefSeq and is a predicted model, not a curated record.
AGCUGGUAUAAACAGGUUCCAGGAGGAGCUCCUCAGUGGGUUCUGCAGCCUCUCCUCUCCUCACACUCCAACCCUGCUCAUCUCUCAGCUGGACAGUAAGGGCCGUUCACACCACACACUGACAACAUGCUGGGGACACUCUGCACUCUCAUCACUGCUCUAACAUGUGUCAGUGGUGUGACUGUGGUGACACAGAAGCCUCCUGUUGUGACAGUGAGCAAAGGAGACACGGCCACUAUGGACUGUAACCUGGGGACUGUUGAUAAUAGAGACGGCCACUCUGGACU